This 282-nucleotide long non-coding RNA is filed under the name Salmo salar (Atlantic salmon). RNAcentral's name for it is "lncRNA (ENSSSAG00000118479.1, ENSSSAG00020077475.1, ENSSSAG00075007673.1)". The record is from RNAcentral. Lineage: Eukaryota; Metazoa; Chordata; Actinopteri; Salmoniformes; Salmonidae.
GGCUAAUGGUGCAGGCUGUUUUUUUGGGGGGGGGGCAUUGUUGUUGGACAUAAUGCAAACCAGAUUUGUGCUCCUUCUUCCUCCCCAAGGGCCUUAAAACAAUAGAGGGACGCCCCUAUUUCACCAACUAUCUGGAGAUUGUCUAUGAUCUCUGUCCUAGUCACGACUGCCAACAGCCUGGAUGUCAUAUCCACAGAUGAUGCAGUCUCUAUUGCACUCCACACUGCCCUUUCCCACCUGGACAAAAGGAACACCUAUGUGAGAAUACUAUUCAUUGACUAC